GUUUUUAUUUUGAGUUUUGUGUCUGGAGUGUUGUGGCAGCUAGCAGCUCAGUACCAGUCGACUUGUCAGUGCAUGAGUUUAUUGUUUGGUGAAGCAAUUUUCUACGUUGUAGCUGAGUUUCUUCGAGAUUAGGCCUGCUUCGAAUAUCCACUCUUAUCAUGUCGUCUCCAAAUGAGACCGAGAAGGCAAAGGCGCCGAGGUCUGUUAUGAAGUAUUACGUUUCUCCAGAUGUUCGCCAAGCUGUUGAAAAGGCUGAGGGUGGUGAAGUAUCAGUGGACCAGCUUUUAGAAGAUAGGAACAGAGUGGCAAAUGCAAGAGGCAAUGAGGCCUGGAGAGAGGACUACGCUCCAAAAACCCCAAAAACCCGCGCAAAAGCUAUGGUGCAGAGAGCGCCUGCUGCUGUUUUUGCUAUGGCAUGUACAUUUGGUGCUAUUGGUUAUGGACUGUGCCAGUUUAUUGCUAAGGAUAGCUUUAAGCAGCAAAUGGCAAUGAGGGCACGCGUUGGCUUCCAAGGUCUCAGCAUCUUCUUGUUCAUGUAUGCUGCGUAUCCCAUGAUCAAGGAAAGACAGGAGAAGCAGAAGGACUUCUUUCCGACGGUUGAUUCUUCGUCCGGGAAUAUUCUCCCGGAGACUACGAAGCGUGAGGUUUGAUGACACUCAUCCAGUGCAUAAAUUUGGACUAUGCCUUUUUUUAUGUCUGCAAGGACACUGUGCUGGUGAUGUUAUAUCACCAAAUUUCUCCCCAUACCUCUGUGUCUGUGUAAGUGGGUGUAUGACUGUAUUGUUGUAUUGUUUGCUCCCGGAGACAGUCGAUCACACGUUUUUUUUUGCCGUUUGGGCUCUCCAUGCUCUUUGAGUUUUAGAUCAUCUUGCAGAAUGUUGCAAGUAGUGUUCUUCGUAGCAUGCAUGAGAGCUGUUGGCACCGGUGUACUGACAUUAUACUGUCCGGCACUACAUUAUAACUACUGUUACAUCUACUACAAUAAUUCUUUCAGUAUCUACCGGUACAUUAUUCCCGAGCUUUUGAGAAAGGCGGAUGCUGUAGGACUGCUGGCUAAGCCAGGGUCCAGCACACUUUAUUUGUAUUUCUCGUGUGCUGUUGUUGAUGUUGUGCUUUUAUUUAUAGUUGUUCAACCAAACAGGCAGUGGUGCCUUCUCACAACUAGA
Sycon ciliatum is the source of this 1166-nucleotide long non-coding RNA. RefSeq lists it as uncharacterized. The transcript is spliced from 2 exons. The record is from RefSeq and is a predicted model, not a curated record. NCBI's taxonomy places the organism in Eukaryota, Metazoa, Porifera, Calcarea, Leucosolenida, Sycettidae.